CCUACGGGGAGCAGCAGUGAGGAAUAUUGGUCAAUGGCCGGAAGGCUGAACCAGCCAUGCCGCGUGAAGGUCAGUGCCCUAUGGGCGUUAAACUUCUUUUGUGCGGGAGCAAGAAUGGGCACGUGUGGCCAGACGAGAGUACCGUACGAAUAAGCAACGGCGAACUCCGGGCCAGCAGCCGCGGUAAUACGGGGGAUGCAAGCGUUAUCCGGAUGUCUGGGGGUUAAAGGGUGCGUAGGCUGUGAGGUAAGUCAGCGGGGAAAUGCCCCCGCUCAACGGGGUGAAGGGCCAUUGAUACUGCCUUGCUGGACUGCGGAUGCCGUGGGCGUACUGUGUGGUGUCGCGG
Molecule: ribosomal RNA, 346 nt
Filed under: uncultured bacterium
Lineage: Bacteria
Description: partial 16S ribosomal RNA
Rfam family: Bacterial small subunit ribosomal RNA
Source: RNAcentral